GAACGCUGGCGGCAGGCCUAACACAUGCAAGUCGAGCGGAUGAGAAGAGCUUGCUCUUCGAUUCAGCGGCGGACGGGUGAGUAAUGCCUAGGAAUCUGCCUAUUAGUGGGGGACAACGUUUCGAAAGGAACGCUAAUACCGCAUACGUCCUACGGGAGAAAGCAGGGGACCUUCGGGCCUUGCGCUAUCAGAUGAGCCUAGGUCGGAUUAGCUAGUAGGUGAGGUAAUGGCUCACCUAGGCGACGAUCCGUAACUGGUCUGAGAGGAUGAUCAGUCACACUGGAACUGAGACACGGUCCAGACUCCUACGGGAGGCAGCAGUGGGGAAUAUUGGACAAUGGGCGAAAAGCCUGAUCCAGCCAUGCCGCGUGUGUGAAGAAGGUCUUCGGAUUGUAAAGCACUUUAAGUUGGGAGGAAGGGCAGUAAGUUAAUACCUUGCUGUUUUGACGUUACCAACAGAAUAAGCACCGGCUAACUUCGUG
Molecule: ribosomal RNA, 482 nt
Filed under: uncultured bacterium
Lineage: Bacteria
Description: bacterial SSU rRNA
Rfam family: Bacterial small subunit ribosomal RNA
Source: RNAcentral